GAUGAGUAGGGCGGGACACGUGGUAUCCUGUCUGAAUAUGGGGGGACCAUCCUCCAAGGCUAAAUACUCCUGACUGACCGAUAGUGAACCAGUACCGUGAGGGAAAGGCGAAAAGAACCCCGGCGAGGGGAGUGAAAAAGAACCUGAAACCGUGUACGUACAAGCAGUGGGAGCACGCUUAGGCGUGUGACUGCGUACCUUUUGUAUAAUGGGUCAGCGACUUAUAUUCUGUAGCAAGGUUAACCGAAUAGGGGAGCCGAAGGGAAACCGAGUCUUAACUGGGCGUUAAGUUGCAGGGUAUAGACCCGAAACCCGGUGAUCUAGCCAUGGGCAGGUUGAAGGUUGGGUAACACUAACUGGAGGACCGAACCGACUAAUGUUGAAAAAUUAGCGGAUGACUUGUGGCUGGGGGUGAAAGGCCAAUCAAACCGGGAGAUAGCUGGUUCUCCCCGAAAGCUAUUUAGGUAGCGCCUCGUGAACUCAUCUCCGGGGGUAGAGCACUGUUUCGGCAAGGGGGUCAUCCCGACUUACCAACCCGAUGCAAACUGCGAAUACCGGAGAAUGUUAUCACGGGAGACACACGGCGGGUGCUAACGUCCGUCGUGAAGAGGGAAACAACCCAGACCGCCAGCUAAGGUCCCAAAGUCAUGGUUAAGUGGGAAACGAUGUGGGAAGGCCCAGACAGCCAGGAUGUUGGCUUAGAAGCAGCCAUCAUUUAAAGAAAGCGUAAUAGCUCACUGGUCGAGUCGGCCUGCGCGGAAGAUGUAACGGGGCUAAACCAUGCACCGAAGCUGCGGCAGCGACACUAUGUGUUGUUGGGUAGGGGAGCGUUCUGUAAGCCUGUGAAGGUGUGCUGUGAGGCAUGCUGGAGGUAUCAGAAGUGCGAAUGCUGACAUAAGUAACGAUAAAGCGGGUGAAAAGCCCGCUCGCCGGAAGACCAAGGGUUCCUGUCCAACGUUAAUCGGGGCAGGGUGAGUCGACCCCUAAGGCGAGGCCGAAAGGCGUAGUCGAUGGGAAACAGGUUAAUAUUCCUGUACUUGGUGUUACUGCGAAGGGGGGACGGAGAAGGCUAUGUUGGCCGGGCGACGGUUGUCCCGGUUUAAGCGUGUAGGCUGGUUUUCCAGGCAAAUCCGGAAAAUCAAGGCUGAGGCGUGAUGACGAGGCACUACGGUGCUGAAGCAACAAAUGCCCUGCUUCCAGGAAAAGCCUCUAAGCAUCAGGUAACAUCAAAUCGUACCCCAAACCGACACAGGUGGUCAGGUAGAGAAUACCAAGGCGCUUGAGAGAACUCGGGUGAAGGAACUAGGCAAAAUGGUGCCGUAACUUCGGGAGAAGGCACGCUGAUAUGUAGGUGAAGUCCCUCGCGGAUGGAGCUGAAAUCAGUCGAAGAUACCAGCUGGCUGCAACUGUUUAUUAAAAACACAGCACUGUGCAAACACGAAAGUGGACGUAUACGGUGUGACGCCUGCCCGGUGCCGGAAGGUUAAUUGAUGGGGUUAGCCGCAAGGCGAAGCUCUUGAUCGAAGCCCCGGUAAACGGCGGCCGUAACUAUAACGGUCCUAAGGUAGCGAAAUUCCUUGUCGGGUAAGUUCCGACCUGCACGAAUGGCGUAAUGAUGGCCAGGCUGUCUCCACCCGAGACUCAGUGAAAUUGAACUCGCUGUGAAGAUGCAGUGUACCCGCGGCAAGACGGAAAGACCCCGUGAACCUUUACUAUAGCUUGACACUGAACAUUGAGCCUUGAUGUGUAGGAUAGGUGGGAGGCUUAGAAGUGUGGACGCCAGUCUGCAUGGAGCCGACCUUGAAAUACCACCCUUUAAUGUUUGAUGUUCUAACGUUGACCCGUAAUCCGGGUUGCGGACAGUGUCUGGUGGGUAGUUUGACUGGGGCGGUCUCCUCCUAAAGAGUAACGGAGGAGCACGAAGGUUGGCUAAUCCUGGUCGGACAUCAGGAGGUUAGUGCAAUGGCAUAAGCCAGCUUGACUGCGAGCGUGACGGCGCGAGCAGGUGCGAAAGCAGGUCAUAGUGAUCCGGUGGUUCUGAAUGGAAGGGCCAUCGCUCAACGGAUAAAAGGUACUCCGGGGAUAACAGGCUGAUACCGCCCAAGAGUUCAUAUCGACGGCGGUGUUUGGCACCUCGAUGUCGGCUCAUCACAUCCUGGGGCUGAAGUAGGUCCCAAGGGUAUGGCUGUUCGCCAUUUAAAGUGGUACGCGAGCUGGGUUUAGAACGUCGUGAGACAGUUCGGUCCCUAUCUGCCGUGGGCGCUGGAGAACUGAGGGGGGCUGCUCCUAGUACGAGAGGACCGGAGUGGACGCAUCACUGGUGUUCGGGUUGUCAUGCCAAUGGCACUGCCCGGUAGCUAAAUGCGGAAGAGAUAAGUGCUGAAAGCAUCUAAGCACGAAACUUGCC
RNAcentral lists this ribosomal RNA (2407 nucleotides) under Escherichia coli. RNAcentral describes it as "partial 23S ribosomal RNA". It matches the Rfam family "Bacterial large subunit ribosomal RNA", at positions 407 to 2798 of the family's 2925-position model. The record is from RNAcentral. Lineage: Bacteria; Pseudomonadati; Pseudomonadota; Gammaproteobacteria; Enterobacterales; Enterobacteriaceae.